UGGGGAAUAUUGCGCAAUGGGCGAAAGCCUGACGCAGCAACGCCGCGUGAGUGAUGAAGGCCUUCGGGUCGUAAAGCUCUUUCGGUGGGGACGAAAAGGUUCGUGCUAAUACCACGGACUAAUGACGGUACCCGAAGAAGAAGCACCGGCUAACUACGUGCCAGCAGCCGCGGUAAUACGUAGGGUGCAGGCGUUAAUCGGAAUUACUGGGCGUAAAGCGUGCGCAGGCGGUUUGUUAAGACAGAUGUGAAAUCCCCGGGCUUAACCUGGGAACUGCGUUUGUAACUGGCAAGCUAGAGUGUGGCAGAGGGGGGUGGAAUUCCAAGUGUAGCAGUGAAAUGCGUAGAUAUGUGGAGGAAUACCGAUGGCGAAGGCAGCCCCCUGGGAUAACACUGACGCUCAUGCACGAAAGCGUGGGGAGCAAACAGGAUUAGAUACCCCAGUAGUCCCUGAGCGGGCUGGCAAGGCGCAU
RNAcentral lists this ribosomal RNA (472 nucleotides) under uncultured bacterium. Its description in RNAcentral is "bacterial SSU rRNA". It matches the Rfam family "Bacterial small subunit ribosomal RNA", at positions 355 to 825 of the family's 1533-position model. The record is from RNAcentral.